Molecule: long non-coding RNA, 476 nt
Organism: Dromiciops gliroides (monito del monte)
Lineage: Eukaryota; Metazoa; Chordata; Mammalia; Microbiotheria; Microbiotheriidae
Exons: 3
Source: RefSeq, a predicted model, not a curated record
UUUGUCGGAGGGGCCUGCGGCUGCGCGUCACGUCAUCCUUUUGCAUCUCUCCCUCUCCCCGUUACCAGCUGGCACAUUGCACAUGGUCCGGCUUUUGUGUUAGGCGAGAGACGCAACUGAAAAAGUCGCUUUCUCGGGCUAGUUUUGGCUUUUCUUUUGUAGAAAUCUCUCCAAAGAGAUGCAUAAUUCACGCGUUCUGGACAGUUGGCACAAUUCAACGGUUGAGCAUGUUGCAGCAGGAGCUCUGCUCAGAACAUUGAUCUCUACCGAUGAGGAGAGUUACCUACCGAUGGGCUGUGGGACUUCUAUUACAUACAUAUAUAAUCGUUAACUUAACAGUCACCGACAAACAUUUCAAGAACUUUUGAUUGGCAUAUAGGUGGCAGAAUGGAUAGAGCACCAGGCUUGAAGUCAGGAAGACUUAUUUUCCUGAAUUCAAAUCUAGCCUCAGACAGUGACUAGCUGUGUGACCCUGG